CCCAUUCAAUCCAGGUUGUUGAUCAAAAUGAUCAACGACCACCCUUAACCCUUUCCUAAAUUAAUUCCGACCUACCCCCAAACCCUAGUCAUUUCUGCCUGCAGCCGCCUUUAAAUUCCCCCCCCCCCACUCCCAAUCCUCUCUCAAACCCUAGCCGCCACCUUCAACUAGCACCUUAAAAUCGCCUGAAUCAAUGGCUUCCAAAGCUAUUAAAGGCCUGUAUAUACCUCCUAUGACUUCUACCUGCCUGGUUAUCAUAUUUUCAAGGCUAGACCUUGAAGAAAUUUUGGUCCAGACCUGGGUUGAUUUCAGUUCCAUGGCUAUCUCUGACCUUGCUCCGGCCAGCCAAGGCUAUUCGAGCCUGAUCUUGACUUCUCCUACGUAGAUCGAUGCUUUCCAAGCCUUUCUCACCAUCUGGGUUCUUCUGAAACCCUAACCUUCGAGGUACUUCCGAUUCUUUUAGAUCCAUUGUAAAUCUGUGUUUAUUCUAAACUUCUAAACGUUUUCUCAAAAAAUUCUUUCAAAACCUUACCUUCAAAACGUUUAUCUUUUCCGAUUUAGGGUUGGGUUAAGUUAUUUAGAAGCUUUCUCUGAUAUUUAGCAUGUUCUACUGUGUUUCUUUAUGUUAUUCUUCUACUGGAGUGUGCAUCAUUAAAAGUCUUAAUUCUUUCUUGAGUUUUCUGAUUUUAUUUUGUUGAUGUUUUUGCCUGAUUUACUUGUUUUUCAUCUCUAUACUCGAGUAAUGGUGAAAACCCUAAAAUUUGGGGUUAAUUCGAGUUCUGAGACUAUUUGCUAUGUGAUUUACUUAUUCGUCAUACUCUGAAUACAAUGGGUCUCAAAAGCCUGAUUCCUUUGAACCUAUUCAAGUUUCUGAAGUUGCUUCACCUGUUGCUUGACUGAAUUUCAAAAUCUUUGUUUCUUUAUAUGAUUCUGACUUCCUGCUAAACUCUAUAAGGUCUUUUACUUGACCCCAUUUUCAUGCUAUUUGAUACUCUCUCUUUUCCCUAUUACUGAGUUACUAAGAUUGACAUAUGGGACUACUAUGUUCCUAUAGUCCACUACUUACUAACUUUGUGAUUGCAUGACGCUUCUCUUUGUCCUAAAUUCAGCCUUGCAUGCCUAAUACAUAUGUACUCUUUUAUAUGCUGAAUUUCCCUCUAAAAUGACCUUCAACUUUGGGAUUGAUUUCAAACCUCCUUGUUUAAUUUUGAUUGCAUUCAUGUGUUAAGUGAUUGACUCUUUCCUUGUUUCGCCUUACUGAUUUCCCUGUUUCUUAGGUUGAUUUGAAAACUUUCCUUAGACUUUCAAUUCCCCUAUUUCUGACUGGUUCAUUUGUUUAUUCAUGGGAACCCCUGUUAUCCUCCCCAAAUCUGUAAUUUCAAAAUCCCUGACUCCUUGAUUUACUAUGUACUGAUUGCCUAUAUAUUCUGCAACUUUACUCUAUUUUCUUACCUUAUUUGGUUAACCGAGUAUUUCAAAGAUUCUUCCCUUAAUUAAACCCCAAUGCAUUUACCCCUAAUUGCCUACUUUGCACAAGAUGCUUACUUGAUUUCUUUCCUUAAAGGUUUUUCGUCCAUUACCGUUUAAGUUUAAACUCCUUAAUUAAAUGAAGCUCUUAUACUGAUUGAUUUUAAUUGGUACACAGUUCCAUAAUUAUUUUAUGCAUGUUUUCACACUAUAAAUAUCCUGCUCUUUCAUUAACACACAGACACGAACACACUUAGUUCUAAAAUUUCUUACACUAAAAACAUUCUCUCCUGCUUUACUACUACUAUGACCCAUUUAGCUGGCUGAAAGCCAAAGCUACUUUCAAAGACUUGCUACCUGCUUUUACUGUAUUUUGCUUCUUUGAACUGGUAUGUUCUGAUUAAAAUUCCAGCAUCACAACAAUGUGUUUACUUAAUACUUUCACCUUCUUGUCUGCCUACUGCUUGUGUUUAGUUCAGUACUUAUUUUAGCAUGCUAUAAUUUCCUUCUGCUUGUUCAGAAUCUAUUAUGAAUCCUAAACCCCUACCCCAAUGUGUUUGAUACUGAUGGUUUGUUUGAGGCAUGACAGUAUUAAGCAUUGCUGUCUAUGACUCAAACGUGAUUCCCCUAGGAUCAUAACCUCUACGUUACCAUUAUGUGAUUGUGUAUUCUGUUGAUUUCGUAAGCAUAACAGCAUUCUCGAUUAUUGUGCAUGCCAAGAAUUAACUAAUGCAUAAGUACAUAGGCCCUUUGCAAUCCCCAGUCCCUGAACCCCCUUUGUGUGAAGUCCUUAACUCUGUAACUGUUUCCUAGCACCCCUUUCCCUUUCCUUUACUUACUUAGUUCUUAAAGUUUUGUUUCUGCACUUUCACUCUGUCUUAGACUUAAGUUUUGCCCCCUCUUGUGAGCCUUGCCUUGGGACCCAUUGAGCUCCCUCUGAACUUGGACACUUGAGGGCUGGCACUUCCACACUGCACAUGUCCCCAUUCUGGUGAUACAAUUUGGGUGUGAGCACUGCCCGGAGUCCCAUUGAGGCUCUUAGGGAACUCUGACACACUCAAAUUGGAGAAAGGCUUUGGAUCAAUGGUCUUUGAGUUGGUCUAUAUCAUAACUCUGAGAGGAAGUGAAAAAGGGUGGGUAACUAUGCAUGCAAGGGUAGAAAACAUGCCUAUAGGACUGUUUUAAUUCUGCAUAUUCAACUUCAUGUAGAAAACCUGCCUAUAGGGUACUUUUAAUUCUGCACAAUUCAAACCGCAUUUAGAUACCAUGUCUAUAAGGUUUAAUACAAGUUUCUGUAUUUAGAUACUAGGUCUAUAAGGAUUAAUACAAGUUCCUGCAUUUAGAUACCAUGUCUAUAAGGUUUAAUACGAGUUUCAGCAUUUAGAUACCAUAUUUAUAAGGGUCUAAAAUCAGCGAUAUAUAGAAAUCAUGCCUAUAGGAAUUUCCUAAAUGAAUCUGAUUCGCUUCACUCAAAUGUUAGAUAAAAUCAGUAAUAAUAGAUACUACCGCCUGCAGCACCUGUAACUAGUCCAAGUUUUGUAUAUUCCGUUCUUUUAAUAACCUAAUUCCCUCGCUCAACAAGGUCUAGUAAUCAUGCCUAUAGGAUUUCAGAUAACUUAUUUCAAGUUUCUACUGUCUCAUCACCUUCUGAAUUCAGUAGAUAUCAUGCCUAUAAGACCUCAUUUAAACACUUAGGCAAGCCUUAGAGUAAUAACUGUAGACUAAAUAUGCUUCUGUUAAUCGCUACAACCAGCAGGCAGGCCUGAUUCGGACUUUCUAUCUGAGUUAUGUAAUAAACUAAAGCUGCCUCAACAAUCUCAUCUUUAGUAUAUUUAAAUCAGACCUAAGCAGUAUGUGUAAGACAUGCUAUUUUAUGUGUUUUGCUUGAGGAGGUGUACUUGAGCCUUAUAUGUUUAUGUGUUUCCCCUUAACAUGCAAUAUGUCUUUUGUAUGUCGCGUUAGUUUACCUUUGAACUCCAAAUAUGCCUGAUAUCCCUCCCUUUUUUAGGAUUAGUAGUCCUAAGUGCCUCCGGGACUGAUAGGAAUGGGAUGGGUAAUAGCAUACAAUAAGUAAUCGAGACCAAUCCGCGCUUUAGAUACCUUAACGGGGUGGGAAGGGUAGAUAUGGAUAUGAUGACCACGUGAUAAUGUCACGUGUAGCCCCUCAUUGAGGAGUGAUUACCGGACAUUGUGUGGGGUGAUCCAUAUUUUUAAUAAACCUAGGACUCCUUUCGUUUGUUCUUUAUUUCUUUCAUUAUUUAACUCCUUAUUAAAAAAUCAGCUUUUCUAAUUGUUCUUUCAAACUUUGUUUACUUUCAAACCAUUAUAUACUGAAACCCCCUCUUAUUUUAGCCUAAUUUGCUUUUAUGUUAAUUGCACUCCAAAUUUACAAUAAUUGUCUGGCCGGAAACCACACUAGUGGAAUUUGAGGGGUGCCUAACACCUUCCCCUUAGAAUAAUUUCAAGCCCUUACCCUAUCUCUCGUUAUUCAAAUCAAACCCUUUGGUGUCCUAAUUCACCCCUAAUCAUUAGGUGGCGACUCUUCAAAUUCAAACCCAAUUCCCAAAAGGAAUGAGUUGUCCUUCCAAAUGUCAUAAACUCAGACUCCGCGAGGAAAAAGGGAGCGCGACAGCAUGACAACUCUGCUGGGGAUCUUUAGGCUUUUACCAUUUCAGACUAUUGUUGUGAAUUUAUGCGCAAUUAUUUGUUUACUUCUUUUAAGCAUUCAAUUUCCUUUUCAAUUGCCAAACUGACUUGUCUUCUUUUUUUCUUUCCUUUACGGCUUUCCUUCAUUACUGCUUUAAAUUAUGAAACUGCUGUAUUUACUUCUUUCUUAAACGUGCAAGUACGUGACAACAUGCCUUUAAUUGUUGCAUAAUCAUGUUCAACAUCAUAUUCCAAUCGUGCCAAAACAAAUCCUAUAGCAAUGCUUAUAAUGAGUGGUUGCGCUCUUCUGAUAUUAUCACCCCCUAAAUCCGGAAAAGGCGUAUUUGCGGUAAAACCAGUCGAUCAACAGUGUAGUCGGCGGUUCCGUGCCUUUCCCCUUUGAGUUGUCCGCUCAAAGGUACCAGUCUAAAACCACAUAGGAACCUUACUCUGUUUGAACUGUGCAUGCAUCAUGGUCAGCCUAGCUGAGUCGGUUAUGUUGUCCACAUAAUGACUCUUUAAGAUAGCUUUGUCCAAAGUCCAAUGGGUUUCCCUAAAACCCAAACGAAUAUUAUCACGUUCUGUGCAUUUAUUUGGAGAACUAAAUGCUUUUAUGUCAAUUAUUGAUAUUAAAUAGUCGAGUCCGGUCGGGGUAAGGGCCUAACCUUUUUGUCUUGAAGAAAUAUGAAGAACGAGGUCCCCAGUUUUGGUACGGUUAGCACGUCCCCACUCUUACUAGACUAGUGGAGGAGUCUUCCAUCAUAUGACCAAAUCAAUGAGUGGAAAGAGAGGGCCGCUAGAGCUAGCGAAAAGUUGGAGUAUCUGGAAUACAGUCUGCUGGAAUUAGAAGGAAAAGUGAGGAAGAGAGUCACCAACUGCCAGAACGCUCAGGGAAACGAAGGAGAAUACCUGGCAAAGGCAUUUUUACUGAUGAACCUACGCGAACUGGAGGAUUUGAUCAACGAGAGCAUUCAACCUGAGGAAGGUCCUUCUGGGACCAAAUAGAUAGGAGUUUUUCUUUUGCUUUAAGAAAUGUAAUAAGGCCAAUGGCCAAUAGUGACUUUAUUUCCCGUUAUUUAGUGUCGAUUUGGGAUUCGUCUAUUUUUAAUCAAUGAAAUGAGGCAUCUAGUAUUCUAAGUUCUCCAAAUUAAUUUGUCGCUAUGCCUACCUCGGGCACAAAGAGGUUCCCUAAAUUAGGACACGAUUUACAUUCUCGCACUAUGUGUUUAAAUAUUGCGAUGCUUUUUAUACUCCUCACUAACUUGUUACCUUUUUGUUUUUACUUUUUGUUUAUUAUUCUCCUCUCCAAAGGUUAGUUCGUGCACUCUGGCAACAUCAUUUUAUUCCACGAGAUCCAGGGGCCCUCCACCCACUCCUCCUCUCAGUCCUGUCAAAAACAAGAACAAAGGGAAGAUGAAAGAUUUGAACAAUGCCAGAAAGGAGAACUCAACUGAACGGGUAGAGGUCACUCAUGGUCAUGACACUCUGGUUCCUAAGGAAAGUGCAUCCCAACUUGAACAAAAGCUGCUGAAAUUCCAAGAAGAACUUGAUCAGGUUCGGAAUCUGGCAAAUCUAUCAUUUUCCCUCACUACUCCAGAUGUCAAUUUCCCAAAUGCUCAGAACCCUACACUGCCACAAAAUAUCCCAAAACCACAAAACCAUCCCGCUCCUCACCACCACUGCAGCACCUAUCAUACUUCCAACAAUAAUCCACUACUCAUCCCAAAACCUUUAAACCCCACAAAUGACCACUUCCACACUCAUCACAACACUCUCAUCUACGUGGAGACCAUGCCACACUCCACGCGACACAUCUCGAGCACACCCGAGUGAUAAAUACUCGCUCAUCAGGAACCUGGUGGAAGAACUUAAGAAAUUGGCGAGCCGAAUCCAAGGCGUCGAAGGAAGAAAGAGAAUUGAGGGGUUGAAUUAUGAGGAUAUUUGCAUACAGCCCGAUGUCGAACUACCCGAGUGGUACAAACCUCCGAAGUUCGAAAUGUUUGAUAGUACAGGGGAUCUAAGAGUCUAUUUGAGAACUUACUGUGACAAGCUGGUCGGAGUAGGGAAAGACGAGAGAAUCCGCAUAAAACUUUUCAUGAGAAGUCUGAAAGAAGAUGCUCUAUCUUGGUACAUUAGCCAAGAUCCAAAGAAAUGGUCAAACUGGGUAGGCAUGGCGUCCGACUUUAUGGACAGGUUCAAGUUCAACACGGAGAAUGCGCCAGAUGUGUUCAACAUUCAGAAUCUAAAGAAGAAACCUACAGAAACAUUCUACGAAUAUGCUACUCGUUGGAGAUCCGAAACUGCUAAGGCCAGACCUGCCUUAGAAGAGGAACAAAUGAACAAAUUCUUCAUCCGGGCUCAGGACCCGCAGUAUUAUGAAAGGCUGAUGUUGAUUGAGAGCCAUAAAUUUUCUGACAUUAUCAAGCUGGGUGAAAGGAUCAAAGAGGGCAUCAAAAGCGGUAUAGUUACGAACUUCGAGGCUUUGCAAGCUACCAAUAAGGCCUUACAGUCUGGUGGUGCAUCCAAGAAAAGGGACGUAGGGUCCGUAAUGGUUGCACAGAGAACCAAAUCUCCUAUCAAAUACCAAACCUAUCCAAUGUCUCCACUCACAUAUCAGCCUACUCCAAAUUACCAAGCACCCCACCCUCUUACCAAACUCCACUAUUCACUUAUCAAUCACCUCCACCUCUCACAUAUCAGCCUACUUCACCCAGAUAUUCCCAACCUGCGCAUGUUUACCAAGCCUACAAUGCUUAAUCGUCUCAUCAUCAAUCACCUCCUACACGCUAAAACUACCCUAGACCUCGACCAAGUUUUGAUCGUAGACCUCCUAAGUAGUAUACAGCCAUUACUGAACCCAUUGACCAGUUAUAUGAGAGACUCAAAGUUGUUGGUUAUGCCACCCCUAUCCCUGCUGUAACCCCUGAGAACCCUUCUUAGUGGAUUAAUCCAAACAAAUCAUGUGCAUACCAUUCCGGAUGAAAGGGCACACCAUCGACGAAUGUCGUUCCUUGAAGGACAAGAUCCAGGCUCUGAUUGACAACAAGAUUAUCAUGGGAAUUGAAAUAGAGGAUGAUUGGGAUCCCAAGGGAACGAUCGGUUUGAUCGUAGAAAGUGAUGACCCAAAGAAGCCAAUAGUUACUCCUAAUCUGAUCGUGGUCCAGAUUCAGCCCUCUGGGGGCAUCGAGGUAAAUAUGUUCGUAUCACUGGAGUUUGAAACAAUGUUAUCUGCAAAGACACCAAUGACAAUUGAGGUCGAAUUCGUGUCUCCAGCAAGUGCACCUCUACCAUUCGCAGCUGCCAUCCUACCACCCAAAGCACAUGCUCCAUUCGGAGUGAAGAUAGCCGUGCCGAUUCCAGUGGCGAUGUCAACCAUGACACCCUUCCAUACAAAGGCCAUACCAUGGGACUAUACAGCUGAGGCAAGAACAAAAGGCAAGGGUAGGUUCGAGAAAAUUGUUGUCGCACAGGGUAUAACGAGAACUAGUAGGAUUUAUACCCGGGAACACCUAGCUGAGUCAAGCAAGCAGGCCUCCAAUCGGUUACCCAUCAUUGAGACAGGUCCAGGCAAUCUCUGGAGAAAAAUACAGGCAAAGGAAUACUCGGUCAUCGACCAGUUGAACAAAACAUCGGUGCAAAUUUUCAUACUUGCUUUGCUACAAAAUUCUGAGGUAUACAAGAAUGCUCUGUUGAAGGUGCUGAGUGAAGCAUACAUGCCAAACAACAUUACUGGCGGGGAAAUAGCCAACAUGGUCGGACAGGUAUUGGAAAGUCACAAAAUUACUUUUCAUGAGGUUGAGCUACCGCCUGAAGGGUUAGGACACAACAAAGCACUGCACAUCAUCGUGCAAUGUGAAGACUACUUCAUCACUAGAAUCCUGAUCGACGGGGGUUCCAGUCUUAACAUUUGUCCGUUGGUAACACUCAAGAAGUUAGGUAAGGGACUGCACGAGAUAAAGGAUGGAGCCAUAAACGUGAAAGCUUUCGAUGGUUCCCAAAGGUCCACCAUUGGGGAGAUUAGUCUGUGUUUGCAAAUGGGACCGACUUGGUUCGAUGUUGAUUUCCAAGUGAUAGACGUAACAGCAUCUUACAAUUUGUUGUUGGAAAGGCCGUGGAUUCAUGAUGUUGGAGUUGUAGCAUCAACACUGCAUCAGGCAGUAAAAUUGGAAUAGAAUCACCAGGAAGUGAUCAUUCACGGCAACCAUAGCAAUCCUAUAUACAGUCGCCAAACCAUUCUGUCAAUCGAGGGGAGAAAGAAGCUGGGAGGAGAGACUUAUCACCACAUCGAACGGGUAAAUGCUGUUGACAAAGACAAAUGGUGGGAUAACAAGAUCGAGAGCAUACUAAAUUGGAAUGGGUAUGAACCUGGCAAAGGACUUGGCAAGAAUCUCCAAGGAAUCACUGAACCCAUAAAACUCAAAAAGCACGGCACCACUUACGGUUUGGGAUAUGAGUACACUUGGGAGGAAUUCAACAACUGGUCGUCGCCAUGGCGUGGUCCUUAUUAUCCGCUGCAACAGCUAGUACCGCGUUUGGAGCAGACUUUCCAACCAGCCAAUGUUAUCUAUGGGUAAAGAGGAAGAAGCACUCGGAGCAGUGAAGAAUUUGUUCUUAGAAGAUAAUGAUAUGUAUUGUUGUGUUGUUCUCGAGGAGGAGGGGAGGAAAGCCCUUCCAUAUAGGUUGUAAGCAUAGGAUCAUGCCUCAAUAACUGGACUAUCAGGACAACCAGAGCCCGAUGAGCCUUGGGGUAGCAAGGCUAAAACAAGCACUGUUUUGUUUACUAAAAGAUUUUGUUUUAGCAUGUUUUCAAUUCCUGUAAUAAGAUCUUCAAUGUUCAAAACAAUUAUGUAAUUUAUCAAAGUAUUUUGACUUUUCUUAUGAAUUAACACUCAUUAUUAUUUUUCUCUCAUUACUUUGCUUAUACAGCAUUACUAUUACUUAUCUUGAUGAACCAAUGACUGUGACAUGCAACGAGACAACAUAACAAACAGACACAGAUUCAGAGGAAGAUGACGUACCAGAAGAGAUUGUUAAGGAAGUUGAGAAUUUUGAGAACAGACCUAAGUCCAACCUGGAUGAAACAAAAGUGGUUAACUUGGGAAAUGCAGAAAACGUCAAAGAAACACGAAUCAUCAUCCACUUAUCGCCAUCAAAAAAGAAGGAGUACACGGAAUUUCUAAGAGAAUAUGAGGACAUAUUCGCCUGGUCAUAUGACGACAUGACUGGUCUGAGUACAUCUAUCGUGGCUCAAAAACUGCCAACCAAUCCAACAUGUCCGUCGGUAAAGCAAAAGCUCAGAAAGUUCAAGCCUGACGUGAGUCUGAAAAUCAAGGAAGAAGUCACUUAGCAGGUCAAAGCUAAGGUUCUCAGGGUAGUGGAAUACCCAACAUGGUUAGCCAACAUCGUGCCAGUACCAAAGAAGGAUGGGAAGGUCAGAGUCUGUGUUGACUACCGGGAUCUCAACCGGCCAGUCCGAAAGACGACUUCCCUUUGCCAAACAUACACAUCUUGAUCGACAAUUGCGCCAGGCAUGAGUUGCAAUCAUUUGUAGACUGUUUUGCUGAUUAUCAUCAUAUCUGGAUGGAUGAAGAAGAUGCUGAGAAAAUGGCUUUCAUUACACCGUGGGGAAUGUAUUGCUACAAGAUGAUGUUGUUCGGGUUAAAGAAUGCAGGGGCCACCUACAUGAGGGCCAUGACUACCAUUUUCCACGAUAUGAUACACAAUGAAAUAGAGGUGUACGUAGAUGAUAUUAUCAUCAAGUCCAAGAAAGCCACUGAUCACAUGGAAGAUUUGAGGAAGUUCUUCAAUAGACUGAGAAGGUACAACCUAAAACUAAAUCCCACGAAAUGUGCAUUUGGGGUUCCAGCUGGAAAGUAGGGUUGGGCAUAUAUCGGGCAUAACCAAUAGACCAAACCAAUAAAAUGCUAUUGGGUUAUCGGUAUCGGGUUAUUGGUAAAUAGUUCGAUAACGAUUUAAUGCUAUUUGACUAAUGGGUUAUUGGUUCGGGUCUCAAUUUUCCCAAUUUAUAAAUGGUUUAAUCGAUAGCCAAUAAGCUUUCACAAAAUUAUAAUUUUACCCACUAAAUAUAUAAAACCACCUUAUGGAUUCAUUCUCUCAUUCUCUCAAUUCUCUCGGUAGCUACUCUUCAUCUUCUAACCUUAAUUAGUUUUAAACUUUAAAGAAUUAAUUGUUCAGAUUUUUAGUUUUUCUAUUUGUUUCUUUUGUUGCACUGAUUCUUUAGUAUUUACAAGAUUAGGAUUUUACUAUUUUUUCCUAUAAAUUUUGCCCGCUCGCAGUGAGAUAGUUAGUAAGAUUAGAUUGUUGAAUGUCUUAUCCCUUACUCCUAUUAACUUAUAACUUUGAAAAUUGAGAUCAUUCAUUGGGAUUUUCAAAUGCAAAGAAAGUUUUAUUUUCUAAGUUGAAAUUUAAUCCCUCUUAUCUUAAGAGUAAAAAUUCAAUUCCUUUCUCCUAAUAGUUCGAUCAUGAUUUCUAUAAUAAAAACAUGAAUUUUUUGGAUAGUUUUUAUUCUUAUCAGGUAAACCGAUAACCGAACUGAUAAGGAUCGAUAACCGAUACCCGAUAAUCGAUAUCCGAUAACCGAUAUCUUAUCGGUUCCAUUAUCGGUUUAGUAUAUUUAUAAACCGAUAACCGAUAUGACGAACCAAUAACAUUCAUAACCAAACCGAACCGACCGAUACCCAUCCCUACUGGAAGUUUCUUGGGUUCAUUAUAAGUCGUCGAAGGAUAGAACUGGACCCAUCGAAAGUCAAGCUAUUCAAGAAUUGCCACCGCCAAAGAACAAGAAGGAUGUGAUUAGUUUCUUGGGGAGACUCAACUACAUCAGCCGGUUCAUAACACAAUCUACAAUUAUCUGUGAGCCAAUAUUUAAGAUGUUAAAGAAGGAUAUCGCUACCAAAUGGACUGACGACUGCCAAAAAGCUUUCGACAAAAUUAAGGAGUAUCUAUCAAUACCACCAGUCUUAGUCCCGCCUGAGCCAGGUAGACCCUUAUUACUCUACCUUGCAGUACUGGAUGGAGCUUUCAGUUGUGUUCUGGGGCAACAUGAUGAAACGGGGAGGAAGGAGCAGGCUAUUUAUUACCUCAGUAAGAAGUUCACCCCGUACGAGGCCCGGUAUUCUCUGUUAGAGCGCACCUGUUGUGCAUUGACUUGGGUAGCCAAGAAGCUGAGGCAUUACUUCUGUGCCUAUACCACAUAUCUCAUGUCAAGGAUGGAUCCCUUGAAGUACAUCUUUCAGAAGCCCAUGCUCACUGGAAAGCUAGCCAAGUGGCAAAUCCUGUUGAGUGAAUUUGACACUGUCUAUGUAACUUAGAAUGAAAUCAAGGGACAGGCACUAGCAGAUUACCUUGCUGAAAAUCCCGUGGACGGAGAAUACGAACCCCUGAAAACGUAUUUUCCUGAUGAAGAGGUAUCAUUCAUAGGAGAAGAUACUGCAGAAUCCUAUGAUGGUUGGAGAAUGUUCUUCGAUGGAACAACAAAUUUCAAAGGAGUUGGUAUAGGAGCGGUCCUAGUAUCAGAAACCGGUCAGCAUUAUCCAGUGUCUGCCAAACUCAAGUUCCCGUGCACCAACAAUAUGGCCGAGUACGAAGCCUUCAUCCUAGUGCUCAAGAUGGCUAUUGACAUGAACAUUCAGGAGUUGCUAGUGAUCGGAGAUUCGGACCUACUUAUACAUCAAGUCCGAGAAGAAUAAGCGACCAAGAACUCCAAGAUACUCCCAUAUCUACAUUAUGUACAGGAACUAAGAAAGAGGUUCACAAAAACGGAAUUCCAACAUGUUCCCAGAGUCCAGAACGAGUUCGCUGAUGCCUUGUCUACCCUGUCAUAUAUGAUACAACAUCCAGACAAAAACUUCAUUGAUCCCAUUCCAGUAAGGAUCCAUGAUCAGCCAACUUAUUGUGCCCAUGNNNNNNNNNNNNNNNNNNNNNNNNNNNNNNNNNNNNNNNNNNNNNNNNNNNNNNNNNNNNNNNNNNNNNNNNNNNNNNNNNNNNNNNNNNNNNNNNNNNNNNNNNNNNNNNNNNNNNNNNNNNNNNNNNNNNNNNNNNNNNNNNNNNNNNNNNNNNNNNNNNNNNNNNNNNUUGUCCAAUAAUUUCUUUCAUAGUGGAGGAAUCUUGUAUAGGAGGACUCCUGAUCUUGGAUUGUUAAGGUGUGUCGAUGCAAAGGAAGCAUCCAGGCUACUAGAGGAAAUUCACGCUGGGACCUGUGGUCCACAUAUGAAUGGCUUUGUCUUAGCAAAGAAGAUACUCCAAGCUGGUUACUUUUGGAUGACUAUGGAAACGGACUACAUCCAGUAUGUCCGAAAAUGCCACCGCUGCUAGGUAAAUGCAGACAUGAUAAAGGUACCCCCAAACGAACUCAAUGCAACAAGCUCACUGUGGCCGUUCGCCGCCUGGGGAAUGGACGUUAUUGGAUCAAUCGAACCUGCCGCUUCCAACGGGCAUAGGUUUAUCCUAGUAGCAAUUGACUAUUUCACCAAAUGGGUCGAAGCAGCAUCCUACCGAGCGGUAACUAAGAAAGUCGUGGCAGACUUUGUCCACGACCGCAUCAUUUGCCGAUUCGAGAUUCCAGAAUCAAUCAUUAUCAAUAAUGGCUCCAAUCUUAACAGUGACUUGAUGAAAGCUAUGUGUGAAACUUUCAAGAUCAAACACAAGAAUUCUACAACCUACAGACCUCAGAUGAACGGGAUCAUAGAAGCCGCCAAUAAGAACAUCAAGAAGAUACUAAGGAAAAUGAUAGAGAAGCAUAAUCAGUGGCAUGAGAAGCUAUCAUUUGCUUUAUUGGGGUAUCGCACCACAGUCCACACAUCAACUAGGGCAACCCCCUAUAUGCUGGUUUAUGGCACAGAAGCCAUCAUUCCCGCCGAAGUGGAAAUUCCUUCCCUAAGAACCAUACAGAAAGCAGAGCUCGACGACGCAGAAUAGGUAAAGAGUUGCUACGAGUAGCUGGCUCUUAUAGAUGGGAAAAGAAUGAAUGCAGUCUACCAUGGUCAACUUUAUCAUAACAGAAUGUCCAAAGUCUUCAACAAAAGAAGCCAAGAUAGUUCACACCGGGGCAGCUGGUGUUAAAGAAAAUCUUUCCACACCAAGAUGAAGCCAAGGGAAAAUUCUCUCCCAACUGGCAAGUCUCGUACAUGGUUCACCGGGUUCUAACAGGAGGAGCCCUCAUACUAGUAGAAAUGGAUGGAGAAGUCUGGCCAAAGCCGAUCAAUUCGGAUGCAGUCAAGCGUUACUANNNNNNNNNNNNNNNNNNNNNNNNNGCAAUGUCCUGAACCACGUCAUAGUCGUCGAUUCAUCUAAAAGUUUUUUAUUAUACAUUUAUGUCAUAUUUUUACAAAAUCAUGCAUGUUUAUUAUUGAAAUUGGCUUUUUUAGCAACACUACCCCAAUGAUACAUACAGUAUCGCCAGAUCAAAGCCGAGCAGGUCAAGCAAUCUAGAGGGGAUACAAACUAACCUCCCCCUUUACAGAACUCAUGAUUUUUCUUUGGAUACAGCCACUUGAGUUGCAAAAUCGUCAAAUAUAUUAUACACUCACGAGAUAAACAUUGUUCAGGAAUACAACUCUCAUAACUAUUGCACUUACUCACAGUUUCUAUCCGCACACAACAGUGUUCCCAGUAGGCACAAUGUCCCCGGCAAUCACAAUGUCGCGAUCUACUAUCAGCUAAGAAAGCGCUAUUACCAUUCUAUUUAUUGCAUAAGGCUACCAUUCUGCCUUCCAAGACUAAACGAUGUCUCCAUCUGCAUUUUUUUCAUUGCAUAAGGCUACCAUUUUGCCUUCCGAGGUUAAGCUCUACCUCCAUUUGCAUUUCUGCAUUGUAUAAGGCUACCAUUCUGCCUUCCGAGACUAAGCUCUAUCUCCAUCUGCAUUUCCGCAUUGCAUAAGGCUACCAUUCUGCCUUCCGAGACUAAGUGUUGUCUCCAUCUGCAUUUCUGCAUUGCAUAAGGAUACUAUUCUGCCUUCCGAGGUUAAGCUCUACCUCCGUUUGCAUUUGCAUGGAUGAAAGAUCGUCACCUCUACAUUCGCAUGGCUGAAAGAUCACCACUUUAUUUGAAUGGCUGAAAGAUCGCCACCUCUACAUUUGCAUGGCUGAAAGAUCGCCACCUCUACAUUUGCAUGGUUGAAAUAUCACCACCUCUACAUUUGCAUGGCUGAAAGAUCGCCACUUCAUUUGUAUGGCUGAAAGAUUGCCACCUUCUGCAUUGCAUAGGCUGAAAGAUUGCCAAAUACUGCAUCUCAAGGGCUACAAAGAUAGCCAAAUUUUUCAAAGGCGUCAUUGUUCGGAGGCACCAUUUUCAAAGCCUGAGAACAUCAUGCCACGGCCUGAGGACCCCUUUUAAUCUUUUGCAUAUCAUUAUUCAAAGGCAUCAUGGUUCGGAGGCAUCAUUCGCAUAGCCCAAGAGCAUCAUUUCAUGGCCUGCGAAUCUUUUAUUAUACGCUUCAUAGCCCCGGACAUCAUGGUCUAAGGACGUCAUCUUAACCGUCUGAAGACAAACAUUCACGGUCCGACGGGAAUUUGCAUCAUGUUUAAAUUUACAACAAUAUACGCUUGUGUUACUUAUUUGCAGGUGAACCGAAAAGCAACGGCCAUCUUGUCAAGAGUGAUCCGCUCCAGUUCCCGCAGCCCUAUCAGACUUUGACCAGUCACCCCAUCCUAAAUAUUGCGUCCAUUCUUGAAAGGUCUCCAUCGGCAUACUCCGUCGACGGAUCCUGAACAACAUAUGGCCUGAUUCCUAUAAGAUCAGGGAUAUGUAGGAAGCUCAGGAGCCAGAUCAUGGCCAAACCUCUUCAAACCAUUUCAUUCGGUCAAAAUUGGUCAUCGUAUCUUUACCCGGCAACUCUUUCAUCCUUCCCGGGUAAAGAGGGACAGUUGUUGAUAUCCAAUUUUUUCCUGCAUAUUUUUAUAUGCAAAAUACUUUCAAAAUAGCAUAUGUAUACAUAUAUAAGUAUGUUCAAAUGUUUUAAUAUUUUUCCUUAAUUUUUAAAGAUUUUAAAAUCAAUUUAUUGCCCUAUUUUAUCAAGAAAAACCCAAUAAUUAUUCCCAAAAUUAUCAUUUUGGUGAUUCAUUUAUUGUACUCUCAUAUUUAUAAUAAAAUAUAGCUAAUGUGAUUUUUGCAUAUUUUUACAAAUUUAUUUAGUAUUUUUAAAAAAUAAAUUGCAUAUAAUUGCAAUAUUGGCCUCUUUCAGAUUUAAUUACAUUUAUGUCUAUAAAAAUCAGGUCCAAUAUUUUUAAUUUGACAAUGUACUAUUAAUCAUUUUAUUACCUUUUAUAUAUUUUCAGAAAUUAUUUUAUUAUUUUUUAUAAAUCAAAUAGGGAAAAGUGGCUAUUUAAAUAUUAGCCUCAUUUUGUUUCAAUUAUGGCCUGAAUUGAACCCCAAUUUUAAACUCAAUUACCCAGCCCAAAUCCAAGCCAUACCGGACCCACGACCCAAUUAGAACAACCCACCCGGAUCCCCUACCUACCAAUUCAAUCCAGGCCGUUGAUCAAAAUGAUCAACGGCCACCCUUAACCCUUUCCUAAAUUAAUUCCGACCUACCCACACACCCUAGUCAUUGCCGCCUGCAGCCACCUUUGAAUUCACCCCACUCCCAAUCCUCUCUCAAACUCCCUCUCAAACCCUAGCCGCCGCCUUCAAUCACCACCCUAAAAUCGCCUGAAUCAAUGGCUUCCAAAGGUAAAGACCUGUAUCUACCUCCUAUGACUUCUACCUGUCUGGUUAUCAUGUUUUCAAGGCUAGACCUUGAAGAAGUUUUGGUCCGGACCUGGGUUGAUUUCAGUUCCAUGGCUAUCUCCGACCUUGCUUCGGCCAGCCAUGGCUAUUCGAGCCUGAUCUUGACUUCUCCUGCUUAGAUUGAUUCUUUCCAAUCCUUUCUCACCAUCUGGGUUCUUCUGAAACCCUAACCUUCGAGGUUCUUCUAAUUCUUUUAGAUCCGUUGUAGAUCUGUGUUUAUUCUAAACUACUAAACGUUUUCUCAAAAAAUUCUUUCAAAACUUUAGCUUCAGAACCUUUAUCUUUUUCCGAUUUAGGGUUGGGUUAAGUUAUUUAGAAGCUUUCUCUGAUCUUUAGCAUGUUAUACUGUGUUUCUUUAUGUUAUUCUUCUACUGGAGUGUGCAUGAUUAAAAGUCUUAAUUCUUUCUUGAGUUUUCUGAUUUUAUUUUGUUGAUGUUUUUGCCUGAUUUACUUGUUUUUCAUCUCUAUACUCGAGUAAUGGUGAAAACCCUAAAAUUUGGGGUUAAUUCGAGUUCUGAGACUAUUUGCUAUGUGAUUUACUCGUUCGUCAUACUCUGAAUACGAUGGGUCUCAAAAGCCUGAUUCCUUUGAACCUAUUCAAGUUUCUGAAGUUGCUUCACCUGUUGCUCGACUGAAUUUCAAAAUCUUUGUUUCUUUAUAUGAUUCUGACUUCCUGCUAAACUCUAUAAGGUCUUUUACUUGACCCCAUUUUCAUGCUAUUUGAUACUCUCUCUUUUCCCUAUUACUGAGUUACUAAGAUUGACAUAUGGGACUACUAUGUUCCUAUAGUCCACUACUUACUAACUUUGUGAUUGCAUGACGCUUCUCUUUGUCCUAAAUUCAGCCUUGCAUGCCUAAUACUUAUGUACUCUUUUAUAUGCUAAAUUUUCCUCUGAAAUGACCUUCAAUUUAGGAUUGAUUUCAAACCUCCUUGUGUAAUUUUGAUUGCAUUCAUGUGUUAAGUGAUUGACUCUUUCCUUGUUUCGCCUUACUGAUUUCCCUGUUUCUUGGAUUGAUUUGAAAACUUUCCUUAGACUUUCAAUUCCCCCAUUUCUGACUUGGUUCAUUUGUUUAUUCAUGGGAACCCCUGUAUCCUCCCCAAAUCCGUAAUUUCAAAUCCCUGACUCCUUGAUUUACUAUGUACUGAUUGCCUAUAUAUUCUGCAACUUUACGCUGUUUUUUUACCUUAUUUGGUUAACCGAGUAUUUCAAAGAUUCUUCCCUUAAUUAAACCCCUAUGUAUUUACCCCUAAUUGCCUACUUUGCACAAGAUGCUUACUUGAUUUCUUUCUUUAAAGGUUUUCUGUCCAUUACCGUUUAAGUUUAAACUCCUUAAUUAAAGGAAGCUCUAAUACUAAUUGAUUUUAGUUGGUACACAGUUCCAUAAUUAUUUUCUUGCUCUAUUUUUCUGUCUGUUUUCAUACUAUAAAUACCAUGCUCUUUCAUCAACACAUAGACACGAACACACGUAGUCCUAAAAUAUCUUACACUAAAAACAUUCUCUCCUGAUUUACUACUACUGUGACCCAUUUAGUUGGCUGAAAGCUAAAGCUAUUUUCAAAGACUUGCUACCUGCUUUUAUUGUAUUUUGAUUCUUUGAACUAGUAUGUUAUGAUUAAAAUUACAGCAUCACAACAAUGUGUUUACUUAAUACUUUCACCUUCUUGUCUGUCUACUGUUUGUGUUUAGUUUAGUACUUAUUUUAGCAUGCUAUAAUUUCCUUCUGCUUGUUCAGAAUCUAUUAUGAAUCUUAAACCCCUACCCCAAUAUGUUUGAUACUGAUGGUUUGUUUAAGGCAUGACAGUAUUAAGCAUUGUUUUCUAUGACUCAAACGUGAUUUCCCUAGGAUCAUAACCUCUACGUUACCAUUAUGUGAUUGUGUAUUUUGUUGAUUUUGUAAGCAUAAAAGCACUCCAUAUUGUUGUGCAUGCCCAGAAUAAACUAAUGCCUAAGUACAUAGGCCAUUUGCAAUCCCCAAUCCUUGAACCCCCUAUGUGUGAAGUCCUUAAUUGUAACUGUUUCCAAGCACCCCUUUCCCUUUCCUUUACUUCCUUAGUUCUUAAAGUUCUGUUUCUGCACUUCUACUUUCUCUUAGACUUAAGUUCUCCCCCCCCCCCUCUUGUGAGCCUUGCCUUGGGACCCAUUGAGCUCCCUCUGAACUUGGACACUUGAGGGCUGGAACUUCUACACUGCACUUGUCCCCAUUCUGGUGAUACAAUUUAGGUGUGAGCACUGCCCGGAGUCCCAUUGAGGCUCUUAGGGAACUCUGGCACACUCAAAUUAGAGAAAGGCUUUGGAUCAAUGGUCUUUGAGUUGGUCUAUCUCAUAACUCAGAGAGGAAGUCAAGAAUCAGGCUUCCUCUGGUUGUAUUUUUCUUUGUAAUCUUAUUUAUUCUCGGUUUGUAAUAAUUUGUAAUGAACAUUCGGGGCUGGCUAGUGAAAAAGGGUGGGUAACUAUGCAUGCAAGGGUAGAAAACAUGCCUAUAGGACUGUUUUAAUUUUGCAUAUUCAACUUCAUGUAGAAAACCUGCCUAUAGGGUACUUUUAAUUCUGCACAAUUCAAACCGCAUUUAGAUACCAUGUCUAUAAGGUUUAAUACAAGUUUCUGUAUUUAGAUACUAGGUCUAUAAGGAUUAAUACAAGUUCCUGCAUUUAGAUACCAUGUCUAUAAGGUUUAAUACGAGUUUCAGCAUUUAGAUACUAUAUUUAUAAGGGUCUAAAAUCAGCAAUAUAUAGAAAUCAUGCCUAUAGGAAUUUCCUAAAUGAAUCUGAUUCGCUUCACUCAAAUGUUAGAUAAAAUCAGUAAUAAUAGAUACUACCGCCUGCAGCACCUGUAACUAGUCCAAGUUUUGUAUAUUUCGUUCUUUUAAUAACCUAAUUCCCUCGCUCAACAAGGUCUAGUAAUCAUGCCUAUAGGAUUUCAGAUAACUUAUUUCAAGUUUUUACUGUCUCAUCACCUUCUGAAUUCAGUAGAUAUCAUGCCUAUAGGACCCCGUUAAAACACUUAGGCAAGCCUUAGAGUAAUAACUGUAGACUGAAUCUGCUUCUGUUAAUCGCUACAACCAGUAGGCAGGCCUGAUUCGGACUUUCUAUCUGAGUUAUGUAAUAAACUAAAGUUGCCUCAACAAUCUUAUCUUUAGUAUAUUUAAAUCAGACCUAAGCAGUAUGUGUAAGACAUGCUAUUUUAUGUAUUUUGUUUGAGGAGGUGUACUUGAGCCUUAUAUGUUUAUGUGUUUCCCCUUAACAUGCAGUAUGUCUUUUGUAUGUCGCGUUAGUUUACCUUUGAACUCCAAAUAUGCCUGAUAUCCCUCCCUUUUUUAGGAUUAGUAGUCCUAAGUGCCUCUGGGACUGAUAGGAAUGGGACGGGUAAUAGCAUGCAAUAAGUAAUCGAGACCAAUCUGCGCUUUAAAUACCUUAACGGGGUUGGGAAGGGUAGAUAUGGAUAUGAUGACCACGUGAUAAUGUCACGUGUAGCCCCUUAUUGAGGAGUGAUUACCGAACAUUGUGUGGGGUGAUCCAUAUUUUUAAUAAACCUAGGACCCCUUGCCUUUGUUCUUUAUUUCUUUCAGUAUUUUAACUCCUUAUUAAAAAAAAUCAGCUUUUCUAAUUGUUCUUUCAAAUUUUGUUUACUUUCAAACCAUUAUAUACUGAAACCCCCUCUUAUUUGAGCCUUAUUUGCUUCUAUAUUAAUUGCACUCCAAAUUCACAACAAUUGUCUGGCCGGGAACCACACUAGUGGAUUCUCUGCCUAACACCGUCCCCUUAGAAUAAUUUCAAGCCCUUAUCCUAUCUUUGGUUAUUCAAAUCAAACCCUUUGGUGUCCUAAUGCACCCUAAUCAUUAGGUGGCGACUCUUCAAAUUCAAACCCAAUUCCCAAAAAGUAUGAGUUGUCCUUCCAAAUGUCAUAAACCCAGACUCCGCGAGGAAAAAGGGGGUGCGACAGGUAUAAACCCCGAAUUAUGUGCUAUGUGAUUGAUGUUGAGGUGACGCACAUGCUACGUGACAGGCGUGUGGGCGUGCACCCUGUGAAUGAUGACUCUGUUAUUUCUAGGACACUGUGUAGUGGUCCUACUUUAUUGAUAUUUGUGUUUUCACCAUGUGAUAAGUAAAUUGAGUUGUACAUCAUGCUAGAUAUCAUGUCUAGGCUUUAUGCCAAUAUUGUUGAGACCCAUAGUGGUCGUUUCUUGUUGUUAUCUCACUGAUUUUAUUGAUAUUUUGUACUUAGUCAUAUUCAUGUAUUCAUAUAAUAUCUCAGUCUCAGUUGUUAUUAUUGAUACAUUAUAUCAUUAUUUUUGGGCUGAUUUUUAUGACAUUGUGAGACCGUGAGCGAUACUGGAGAGAUUGAUGACUGAGUGAGGACGAGGGCCAGAUUGUGAGAUAUUGAUACUAUAGCACGUGAGUUUUUCGUGCAGCAUGUGAGUUGUUCGUACAGAUACUGAUAUUGAUACUAUAGCAUGUGAAUUGUCCGUACAGCACGUGAGUUGUCCGUGCAGAUACUGAUAUUGAUAUUAUAGCACGUGAAUUAUCCGUGCAGCACAUGAGUUGUCCGUGCAGAUACUGAUAUUGCUACUAUAGCACGUGAGUUGUCUGUGCAUCACGUGAGUUGUCCGUGCAGAUACUGAUAUUUAUACCAUAUCACGUGAGUUGUCCGUGCAUAUUUUAGCACUUGGGUUGUAGGAACCCCUCCGAAAUCUGCACACCUCCAGUGAGCGCAGUCGACUAUAAAUAAAUGGAUCAAGUUGCAUGCUGCAACAAGCCUUAUGGCUAUAUGUAUAUGGAUCGGGUAGCACGCCGCAACGAGUAUAGUACAGUGCUGAGUGAUUGAGAGUGCUGAGUAUUAAGCAUGGUAAAAGAUAAUGCGAGGCAGUGAGAUUGAGUACUCUGAGAGUAUGAGUACAUGAGUUCAUUACUAAGAGGCAUUGCAUUUGGCAUGUGUACUUGAGAUAUAUGCAUAGAGUUGCAUUUCUUUCUGUUGCCUGGUUUGGGUGACAUUCAUGAUUUUACUUGUAUCUUGACAUGUAGGCAUGGAGAUGUACUUUCCUCAUGCCAUUUGAAAAAUGAAAUCUCCAAUUUUGAAAGAAAGUUUUAUGGAAAAAUCAUAGUUUUCAGACUUACUAAUAUUUUGGUGGUUUCAGUGAAAAGAAUUGAGUUUUAAUGUUAUACUUGAAAAGAAACUACUUGUUUUUCCUGAACUGUGAACGAGCUGAGCAUUUUAUUAUUAAUUUAUUAUCUGUGCUGCUUAUGAAUAUUGUUUUGAAGUAUUACUGGAUGUGGGUGUGGACCCUAACCUCGGUACAAGCUCGUCACUGCUUUCAACCUGAGUUUAGGUUUGUUACUUAUUGAGUACAUGGGGUUGGUUGUACUCAUACUACACUUCCUGCACAUUGCGUGCAGAUUUCGGAUGUCGAUGCCGAUGCCGUCAUGUUCGAUGAGAUCUAACUUGGAAGAUGUUUCGACAUCCCUGUUGUAGCUGCCUCUUGUUCAUGGUAGCCUUAGAUUUAUUAAACUCUGUUUAUGUACUUUUCAAACAAAAAAUGUAUUUAUUUCAUAUCAGUUUUGUAAAUUCUACUCAUAGAAGCUCAUGAUUUGUACUGCCAGUCCUUGGGAGGUGUAUAAGAGAUCAUUUAUUUUUUCUUAAUAUGUUAUAUUUUUAUUGGACUUGAUGAGUUGGCUUACCUAGCGGGAUGGGUUAGGUAUCAUCAUGACUAGUUGGAUUUUGGGUCGUGACAAAUGACCUGCUCAGGUAUUCCAUAGCCAAAACAAAUAAGAAAGGUGAAAGUGAAUCACCAUGCCUGAGCCCCUUCUUUGCCUCAAAAGGAUCUGUUGGACUACCAUUUAUUAGAACUGAAUAAAUCAUUGUACUAAUGCAAGCCAUUAUCCAUCUCACAAAGAUUUCUGGAAAAUUCAGUGACCUUAACACUUGUUCUAUGUACAUCCACUCCACAGAGUCAUAUGCUUUUUGCAUGUCAAUUUUAAGCAUACAUCUAGGGGAGAUACUCUUCCUUCCAUAACCUUUCACUAGUUCAUGACUCAUCAAAAUGUUAUCUGUGAUCAGCUUUCCAAGUACAAAAGCAGCUUGACAAUUAUCCACCAGUCUAUCCAUCACCCCUUGCAUUCUUGUAGUUAUCACUUUAGAGAUGAGCUUAUAUAGAACUGUAUAGCAAGAAAUAGGUUUAAAGUCUCUUAUGUUUGUUGGAUUCUGGAUAUUUGGAAUCAGUGUGAUUGUUUUGCAAUUAAUGGCUUUACACAUAUCUGCACUCUCAAAGAAAUCUUGAACUGUUGCAGUUAUUUCCUCUCCCACAAUGUUCCAUGUCUUCUUAAAGAAGUAGGAGUUAUACCCAUCACACAUUGGUGCCUUGUUAUCAUCAAUGCCCAAUAAAGCUUGUUUCACCUCUUCGUUGCUGACUGGACUGAUUAACUGUAGUUGUUGACUCAUGUUCAACACAUUGUCAUUCUUCAUUAUAUCAUAGUUGAUCAUUGGUAGCUGUGUAGCUGAACUACCAAGUAACCCCCUAUAAAAAUUUAGAAUUUAUGCUUUUAUCUCUUCAGUAUUUUGCACUAUAUCCCCAUUACUAUCGAUUAACCUGCCAAUGUUGUUCCUUGCUUGUCUAUUUUUCAUACAAGCAUGAUAAAAAGUUGUAUUAGAAUCUCCCAAAUUAAGCCACUGUACUCUGGACUUUUGCUUCAUAAUACUCUCAUCCACCAUUAGCCAUUUCUCUAGCUCCAAUUCAGUAGUUCUUUCCAAUUCAACCUACAUUUCUCCUUGGUCAGGACAACUCAUUUGGUUAUGUAUACUUUCUAAUCUUUCUCUAGCACCAUGCUUACUAUCAAUGCCACUGAACUCCUCUUUAUUCAUCUGCUUCAGUAACACUUUUAACUUCUUAAAUUUGUUCCACAUUGUCAACAUUGUUUGUCUGCUCUUCCCAAGCUCUCAACCAAUCUGCACUAUAUCUUCAAAAGACUUCAAGUUUACCAGACAGUUCAAAAACUUGAAAGGUUUCCCUCCAACUUGGCUACUUGUAUCAAACUUCACACUUAGAGGGCAAUGAUCAGAGAAACCAGGGUUCAUAGACACCCCCUCCAUAUUGGGCCACAUUUGUAUCCAUUCAGAAUUUACCAGAAUUCUAUCAAUCCUACUAUAUACAUAGUUAUUAGUCCAUGUGUAUUGUCUUCCCACUGUCUUCAGUUCAUCUACUUUAGCAUCCACUAAAAAUUAUUUAAAUUCCCUUAUCUCCAUCUCCUACACAGGACUACCAUUGAAUCUAUCUUCACUGGUUUGAAUUGUAUUGAAGUCCCCCAUUAUAAGGCAAGGACUCCUUAUAUUGACUACUCAUAUCAGCAUCUCCUCCCAUAGAUUCUUUCUGUCAUGCAUUGUAUGCUUACCAUAGACAGCACAUAGGUGAAACUGAACAUUCUGCUACAAUGUUGUUACUUUUCCCAGAAUAAAUUGUUCAUGAUAUUUAGUCAUUGUAUAGUCCACCAAUGUAGAAUCCCAUGCAACCCAUAUUCUACCCCCAGGAGCCUCAUCAUAGUUAUCCACCCAUUUCCAGUUUUUCAGAGCCUUCCUUAACACAGACUCAGCAUUACUUUGCUUCACUCUAUGUUCAAUUAUGGCUAUCAAUACUACAUUAUUAAUCCUGCAAAAAAAUUUUAGUUCUUUUUGUUUGUACACCUUAUUCAGACCCCUUACAUUCCAUGCAAUAAAGUUCAUCAUGAUAUAAUAGAUAAAAUUGGAGGUCCACCCUUAUCUUCCUUGUUUUGCAUUUCUUUUGCACCUUGAGCUUCAGACAGUUGAACAAUUUUUUGAGCAUUAUCAACCAGAGCUUUGAAAGCAUUGCCAAUAUCCACUUCCUUUUCCCUUAUCACAUUUGUGUGCUUCUUAGUUGCAAAUCUUCCUCGAGCUAUUUGCCAUUGUGUUUCAACCUCUGAGUUACUAUUAUAUAUAGUUGCUUCUUCCUCCAAUUGUUCAUUAAAUCUCCCUUGUGCAUCAGUUUUGUCAACCUUAGGAUCAAGUGCUCUAACUUUUCUCCACUCCUGCUUUUUCUUCCCUUCCACAUUUUUCCUCACUGCAUCCUGUCUCAGCUUCCUUUGAUCCUUACAUGUAUGGCCAAGUUGACAGCAUUUUUGGCAGUAUAAUGGUUUCCAGUCAUAGUGUACUAAUUGUUCCAACACCUUUCCUUUUGGAUCACAUAGCUUAAUCUUCUCUGGUAAUGGCCUAGUAACGUCCAUCUCUAUUAAAAUUCUUGCAUAUAAAAUUCUCUCAGCAAUCAUUGUAGAAGCAUCAGCAUAUUUUGGUUUCCCCAAACUACUUCCUAUCUUACUUAACGCUUGAUUACUCCAAAGGUUAAGCGGUAGAUUUGGAGGCUUGAUCCACAGAGGGAUAGUCCUCAGAACUUCUUCAUUAAAAUCAAAAUUCUUCGACCAUUGCCUCAUGAUAACUGGCCUAUUGUUAAUUGUAGAAGGACCAUUCAUCAGCACUCUCUCCUUCUCUUCAUUAGUACUACGCAUGACUAUGAAAUAUCCAUCAUUAUGAAAUAAUACCUUAGGUUUCUGCAAACUUGCCCAUUGAUUAGUGAUGAACCUUUCGAUGGCUCUGAUUGAAGGUGUAUUCCCCACCACAUACAAUAUUACUGCUCUAGUCCGUUUUACAUUUUCCUCUUCAAUGUCUUCCUCCAUCAGCUGCACAACAACUUCACCAUCCUUCAUUGUCGGGGGUAUAUAGGUGAGAUUCAUACCUUUUGCAGCUAACUUGUUCUCCUGGAGUGAUCCCGCCCAUGAUUGACCCUUAUCAACUGCUGGAAUUGAGUUCUUCACUUGAGAUUCCUUUUGGUUAUCCAUAGAAAUAGCCCUCUGUUUCUUGCUUGAGCUUGCAUGUGUUGUUCCAUUGGAUUUUGCCUCACUCAAGCUGGGUUUCUCACUUACAACCCUCAUUUCGCAAUUUCCUUUGUUCAUGUUUUCCGUCAGUGCCAAUUUCCUGCUAGAAUUCACUGGUGUUGUUGCUUGAUUCCGAUACUUGUCCAGAUCUGGCUAGUUAUCGUCACUAUCAUUUUCAUGCUCUAUCUCCUCCUCCUGUAUUUGAUCCUUGGCUUUGGCCUUACCUUUCCCUUGUUCACUCGAUCUAGUCAUCGUAAUCUUCUGAUCUAGUACUGGCUUUUUGGUGGUAUUCUUCCUCGGUCGUCCUCUUCCUUCCAUUUUCGAUGAAGGCGCAGGUUAGUCAGUCGCCUAACGUGCGCCGAGAGAAAAACCGGGGGUUUUUGCUUAUAACAAGUUUAAUGCUACUUUUAUGGAGUUCCUUUUCUUUAUAUAAAAAAAAUUAAAUAAAAAGAGGAAUUUUAUUAUCUAAUAAUACUUGAUUUUUCCUCUUUUUUCAUGUAUGAGGCAAGAAUGUCGGAAAUGUAACCUUUAUGUGACACUCUUUGAAGAUAGGGGUUCAAAUUGUUUCGCCAAAUAAUUAGCUUAAGAACAUAGAUUUUUAAAUUAUGUAAUGAAGACAACUCGUCUUCAGAAUAAUAGCGAGUUUGCAUCUCAAACUUUGAUUGAUUAAUUAUUUUAUGUCAGCUGAAAUAACAACUGUAUAUUAUGUUGCUCGUAUUUGUGAAAGAGAUAAAUUGUCGCAAUUAUGAAAAUGUAAAUAUAAAAGUACACAGAUCAAUUAAUUAAAAAUUUAAUUUGCUUAUCCAGAUAUUAUGAGGACCAAAUUAAGAAUUUGCUAAUAUUUGAGACACUGAGGGGUCAUUUGAUAUGAGCUAUAAGUAGAUAUAAUGAUGAUAUAAAAAUUUAAUAUCACCUUAAUACUUUGUUUGGUUAGCAAACUUGAUAUAAGUUAUUCCGAGAUUAAAAUUAGUAUCGGGAUAACUUAUACCCUAUACGGGUAGGGUAAUUACUGCUAGGAUAACUUAUAUUUUCUUCUUAAAAAUUAUACAAUUGUUAUUUUUAAUACAACAUACCAAACAAUGGAUAAAAAACAAUACCAGAUAACUAAUCCCAACAUAACUAAUUCCGACAUAACUUAUCCGGCUUAUAGCAUAAGCCGUAUACAAAGCAAACAAUCCCGAAAAGUAUAAUUUUUUUAUUAAAAUAAAAAUCAGGUUUUCUGGCCAUGUAUUAUUUCCUUUUCGCCAUGUUAAGUCUUGAGAAUAUCAUUUUAAUUCAUAGGGCAGUAGGGGGGAACAAAGAAGGCUACACCAAAUUGGAAUAUAUAUUUUUCAAUAUAUCAAACUUAAACAGCAUAACUAAGCAAAUACAUAAAAAUAGCAAAGUAGGUUAAAUAUUUUGGCACUCAUUUUCAUAUUCUUACAAAGUCAAAAAGUCGUAUAACUUUCCAUGUACUCGAAUAGAUUAUAAGAAAACAAAGCCAAGAACCGAUAGUCACAUUAAUCUAUUUUUACAAUUAAAUUACAAUCACAUAUCUAUACAACAACAUUCUUAUAUAAUAAUUUCGCUAUAAAAGUCGAACUUAACUUUUUCUCGAAAUCGAAUAUUACAUUAUAUUAUGAUAUAUGUACUCUACAACAACAAUUCACUAUAGCAACAACAACAAUUCACUAUAGCAACUGAAAAAAUUCGAAACAAACGAGACUGUUAUAUAGAAGUUUUACUAUAUUUACACUUGGAGAAAAGCUCCCCCUUUAACAUAUUCAGUAAAAGCCAGGGCAACUAAUCCCAACAUAGCAAAUCUUCCAUUCCAAAUCUCAGCAUCAGCACUCAUAAUCCCACUUGUAUAUUUUUUCUCAGCUCUAAUUCCUUGAAAUAGAGGAAUUAGAGAGGCUAGUGUUAGCAAAGCACUUGUCCCCAAAAACCACGAGAAACCUCCGCUCGAUAGCUGAGCGAAGAUGUCGCCGCCGUUGGCGAAUUCAGCGCCAAGGGCGGCGACAAAUCCUAUCAUUGCUAGCCUGCCAUUAAUACGCUCUGGUGCUGGACCAGAGAAGGCGAAUAGGUCUCCGAAUUUGGUGCUGGUCUGUUCACAAAAUUGUAUGAGAAAUGUUAGAACAAUGAUCUUGCCUGUUGAAGUGAUAGAAGUACUAAUACAUAUCAAAACAAUAAUAUUAAAUAUUUAUGCUAAUAAAUAUCAAAAUACUAAAAAUUUCGCAGUUCAGUACUAGUUGUCUAUUUUUCACUUUCACUCCCUUCAAAAAAAGUAUGUAUUUUAUAAUUUUACUCACAAUAAUAUUAUAUAGCAUUUCCAAAAGUCAUCAAAAAUGAUUUAAAAAAUGAAUAAUUAGUUAUAAGGGUAAAACAGGAAGAAAAAAAUCGUCAUUCUCUUGAUUUAAUACAAUGACAAAUAAAAAUAAAAAUAUAUUUUUUAUAUAGUAGAUAAAUAAAAGUGAAAGGAGAAAGUAUUAAAUAUGCAUAUUAUUAUGUCACUUGAAAAACACCACUUGUACUUAUAAUAAGUAUCAUUAAUUAUACUAAUAAAAGGGCGAAGUAUAUACUUAAACAUACUAAUCAUUCUUUGUUUCUGCAUUUGCUAUGUUAGUGAAUAUUAUUUGUUUGAUCUAUUUCACGUAAACUGAAACAGAUAAAAUUAUAUUUAAGUAAAUAUAUCAGAUAAAAUUUUGUAGUUUUUGAAAAAGUUGAAAAAUGUAGACCUUAGCCACAGGACGAGGUGUUGGUAUGGGUGUUGGUGUUGGCGUAGGUGUUGUAGCAAUAUCAUUCAAGGAGUUUGAAGUUUGGCCCUUCUCACCAUCCUGCAAAUUUUUCAAACGUCAAUAUUUCAUUAAUUUAAAGUAGCUUGGCACGCAAAAAAAAAAAAUAAUAAUAAUAAUAAUAAUAACAUGCAAUAUUUUCAUAUUUGUGACCAUAAGAGCAUGUUAAUAAGUAUAAGACAAAAAAACCUGAAAUUAGAAUACUCCUUCCGUUUCACUUUGUUGGCAUAUACGGGAUGCCAAAAUGGUUAAAAAAAAAUAGUUAAUCACUUAUAUUGUCCACUAAAAAAUGAGUUAGAUAAUAAACUUUUUAAAAAAAAAACAAAUAUGAAUAAGAAUCAUAUUAUCCGCUUAAAAUAUGAAUAAUCAAUGAGUAACCAAUGAAUAACUAAUAGGUCUAACUUUUAGAUAUAUAAAACCUCAAAUCUAGAGUUUCUCAAGUUAGGGAAACUAAAAAAAAUUCUAAAAGUGAUUAUUUGCAAUAAAUCAUGGCCGGUUAACUCGUUUUUUAUCCAUAUUAAUUAUGAUCGGAUCGAAUAACUUAUCCGUUUCUCAUUACCCGUUUUGGACCCAAAUCAUAUCGGAUCUGAUCUGAUCCGACCCACCCGUCUGCCACUCCUGGUACGAAUUAUGAGAGCUAAAAUACUAAACUUUGACGAUAAAUUCGGACAUAGUUUUAUCAUGUUUUUUAAAAUAAAAUUAAAUCAUCCAACAUCUUACCUCGGACAUACACUUAACACUAAGAGUAGAAUUCCUCUGAGGGCGUGGAAUGUUACAACAAGGAACGAACUGAUUCACUCCAUUCCUCUUUGACACUAUUGGACUUCCCAAAAUCAUAGACUGCAUACCACCACAAAUUGCCAUCUNNN
This 28371-nucleotide long non-coding RNA is filed under the name Nicotiana tabacum (common tobacco). Its description in RNAcentral is "long non-coding RNA (NTAB_LNC010902)". Lineage: Eukaryota; Viridiplantae; Streptophyta; Magnoliopsida; Solanales; Solanaceae. The record is from RNAcentral.